Molecule: long non-coding RNA, 976 nt
Filed under: Brassica napus (rape)
Lineage: Eukaryota; Viridiplantae; Streptophyta; Magnoliopsida; Brassicales; Brassicaceae
Description: long non-coding RNA (BNAP_LNC025071)
Source: RNAcentral
UGAUAGGUCAUAUAGGGUCUUCGAGGGGAUCGGAGGAGGAAGAAAACAGAGAAAAAGUAGGGUUACAGUUUCAAUUUCAAUUUGGGAAAAAAGGGGCUAUAGGUAAUGAACACGUACGUAUAAAGGAAGUCGACCACUUCUGAACCUACGUGUAAACAUAACUACAUCAAUUUUUUUUGUAAAAGGGCUUUCAGCUACAUCAUGUUUUAUCGUUUAGCUUUUCGAUUCACAUAUAAUAUAUAUGUUAGCCGGCUAAAUGCAUUUAAUAGAUUUGCAUGAAAAUUUAAUACAUUUUUAUCGAUGGUAACUGAUAUGGUUAGAGCAAAUUUUAUCCACGACAAAAAGAAUAAUAACCGGAUAAAUUUUGUUUAGGCCAUCUAAUGUAUGUAGCCGGCUAAUAACAUGUAUAUAUUCUAUAGCACAAAUUUUUAAUAUAUUUUUUUAACAGAAUUAGUUAUUUGCUUUUAUUGAUAUAGGAAUUUAUAGCAGACUUUGAACGAAGAAUUAGCAAGCUAUUUAAGUGCUUAGAUUUAUAGAGGAAUUUGUAGCCCGAUAUAAAAUUUGGUAUUUCUGAUGAUGAUUGUUAUGGUUUAGAAAAAACUUUAAACAAGACAAAUAAAAUAAUAUCCGCCUAAGUUUUUUAUAUAGGAUAUAAAAUCAAUUAUGUCGUGACAUAAUACAAAAAUAAGAAUGGGUUUUGUGGAAUCUGAUUGGGAUGGGUUAUGUGGUAUGGUUCGAGGCCUUUUGAUGUUCAUGGUUUUUGUUUCUUUAUUGCUUGUGGUCCAGCCAGCUUGUCUCAGACGGAGACGUAUGCAAAGCUUCUAUUUAAUCCGAAAAUUGAGAUAGAUGGAAAGACGAACAUAAGAAUAUAUAUAGCAGAAAAGCUUAGAUAGGAAUUAUCGAAAUUGAAGGUUUUAAAGAACAUGAUAGGUUACAACUUGUCUGACAAUAAACUUUACGUGUAACUAUAGUUAAU